AUGACGGCCUACAGCAUCGAAGAUAAGGAGCUGUGGACGCGGCACGCCAUAACCGUGGUGUCCCAGGUCACGGUCGCCCUCUAUGUCUUCUGCAUGUCGUGGUCCGGGGAGAAGAGGUUGCUUCAGGCGGCAAUCUUGCUAUUCAUCGUUGGGAUCGUCAGAUCCGUCCAGAAGCCAUGGGCUCUAAAGAAUAGCACUAUCAGUGGCAUGGUCGCCCCUUCCUCUCCAUCCACGCGAAGGGAACAAGGUUUGUUUGCAUUAUUUCCCUUCAUGGCAUUAUAUUGUCCGAUAGAGGAAGACGAGAAGAAGAAGCCGAAGAGAAGGACAUUCCGCUUGAAGAAUUUGUACAAAGAGCAAGAAGAAUCCAACCUCGGUUGGUUAUUUGCGGUGCUCUACACAAAUUUGAGUACGUUACUCAGUUUCCUUGGCAUAUGUUUGCACCUCUUGCUCCCAUUUCUGACCUUAGCUGCCGUCAUCCAAUUCUCCACAAGCCACAAAUAUCAUGACUACAAUGCAGCAGAUGUCAAGCAUCAUCUGGGCCACGCCAAACUGCUGGGGUGGAGCUUGAAGAUGGCGUUCGAUAGAAGCGUCCUUCUCUGGCACAUCGCCACGGACCUCUGCUUUCACCACCAAAGCACAACCCCUCGCGGCCAAGUGCGUGCCGCUAAAAGCAGAGUUAUAUCCAACCACAUGUCUUACCUGCUCUGCAUCCGUCCUGAGAUGCUGAUGCUUGGGACCAGGAAGGGUAUCUUCGGUAUUGCCUGUGAAGAUAUCGAGCUCACGAUGGGUGGUGAGUUAGAACCGGACGUAAGAGGACUUGCACAAGGAAUUCUUCACAGGUCGCAACAACCUCCCUCCUCACACGCUAGCAACAUAGGAGCUUUGGUCCCCAAUGCAUGUAGGCUUGCUGAAGCAUUGAUGGAGCUGCAGGAUGAAGAGAAGAGGUGGGAGGUGGUCCAGGGGGUAUGGGUAGAGAUGUUAUGCUACUCUGCCAGUAGGUGCAGGGGGUACUUGCACGGCAAGAACAUGAAUGAAGGUCCGGAGCUGCUCUCUCAAGUCUGGAUCCUCUUGUCAUUCAUGGGGAUGGAGACAUCUGCCGACAGGUAUCAAAAGUCGGAGCCUCCCGAAACCAAGGAAGAAGAAGAGUGCUUUUGUGGUUUAUUUCGUGUGGUUUAUGCAAUCCCGGUGUUUUUCCCGGUACGCGUCGUCAGGCCAGAGUUGGGCCACUUUUCCCCGCCGGCUUCCACGACAAGCGUAAAAAACCGUGGACAACAACAAGCGUCCUCCCCUCCAACCAUUUGCUCGCAUUUGUGCCCGACGGCGUGCGCGUCCAUGCCUUCUAGCGCCAGGCAUCAACACCCUAUGGGGCGACCCUUCACCGCUGGCCGUUGA
RNAcentral lists this ribosomal RNA (1392 nucleotides) under Triticum aestivum (bread wheat). Its description in RNAcentral is "partial small subunit ribosomal RNA". Lineage: Eukaryota; Viridiplantae; Streptophyta; Magnoliopsida; Poales; Poaceae. The record is from RNAcentral.